This 512-nucleotide ribosomal RNA is filed under the name uncultured bacterium. RNAcentral describes it as "partial 16S ribosomal RNA". It matches the Rfam family "Bacterial small subunit ribosomal RNA", at positions 28 to 507 of the family's 1533-position model. The record is from RNAcentral.
GAUGAACGCUGGCGGCGUGCCUAAUACAUGCAAGUCGAACGAAACUUCUUUAUCACCGAGUGCUUGCACUCACCGAUAAAGAGUUGAGUGGCGAACGGGUGAGUAACACGUUUUCAACCUGCCCAAAAGAGGGGGAUAACACUUGGAAACAGGUGCUAAUACCGCAUAACCAUAGUUACCGCAUGGUACCUAUGUAAAAGGUGGCUAUACUACCGCUUUUGGAUGGGCCCGCGGCGCAUUAGCUAGUUGGUAGGGUAAAGGCUUACCAAGGCAAUGAUGCGUAGCCGAAUUGAGAGGUUGAUCGGCCACAUUGGGACUGAGACACGGCCCAAACUCCUACGGGAGGCAGCAGUAGGGAAUCUUCCACAAUGGGCGAAAGCCUGAUGGAGCAACGCCGCGUGGGUGAAGAAGGUCUUCGGAUCGUAAAACCCUGUUGUUAGAGAAGAAAGUGCGUGAGAGUAACUGUUCACGUUUCGACGGUAUCUAACCAGAAAGCCACGGCUAACUACGUG